AGGGACUUAGGUUAUGUAGACCAAGAGCCUUCAAAGCUCUAAGAAAAUUAAUACUAUUUAGCCCCUG
Molecule: transfer RNA, 67 nt
Filed under: Cyclopes didactylus (silky anteater)
Lineage: Eukaryota; Metazoa; Chordata; Mammalia; Pilosa; Cyclopedidae
Description: tRNA-Trp
Source: RNAcentral